AAUAUUGGACAAUGGGGGCAACCCUGAUCCAGCCAUGCCGCGUGUGUGAAGAAGGUCUUCGGAUUGUAAAGCACUGUAAGUUGGGAGGAAGGGCUUUAGGCUAAUACCCUGAAGUUUUGACGUUACCAACAGAAUAAGCACCGGCUAACUCUGUGCCACCAGCCGCGGUAAUACAGAGGGUGCAAGCGUUAAUCGGAAUUACUGGGCGUAAAGAGAGCGUAUGUGGUUCAGUAAGAUGGGUGUGAAAACCCCGGGCUUAAACUGGGAACUGCUAUCAUAACUGCUGAGCUAGAGUACGGUAGAGGGUAGUGGAAUUUCCUGUGUAGCGGUGAAAUGCGUAGAUAUAGGAAGGAACACCAGUGGCGAAGGCGACUACAUGGACUGAUACUGACACUGAGGUGCGAAAGCGUGGGGAGCAAACAG
RNAcentral lists this ribosomal RNA (423 nucleotides) under uncultured bacterium. RNAcentral's name for it is "partial 16S ribosomal RNA". It matches the Rfam family "Bacterial small subunit ribosomal RNA", at positions 360 to 775 of the family's 1533-position model. The record is from RNAcentral.